RNAcentral lists this ribosomal RNA (576 nucleotides) under Lepus yarkandensis (Yarkand hare). Its description in RNAcentral is "partial 12S ribosomal RNA". It matches the Rfam family "Bacterial small subunit ribosomal RNA", at positions 490 to 1334 of the family's 1533-position model. Lineage: Eukaryota; Metazoa; Chordata; Mammalia; Lagomorpha; Leporidae. The record is from RNAcentral.
GGGUUGGUAAAUUUCGUGCCAGCCACCGCGGUCAUACGAUUAACCCAAACCAAUAGACACCCGGCGUAAAGCGUGAUUAGAAUCUAANNAACAAAAANNNNNUAAAAUCAAAUAACAACUAAACUGUAAAAAGUAAUAGUUGAAAACAAAAAUAAACGACGAAAGUGAUUUUAUAGCUUUCGAACUCACGAUAGCUAAGAUCCAAACUGGGAUUAGAUACCCCACUAUGCUUAGCCCUAAACCUAGAUAAUUUUAUNAACAAAAUUAUCCGCCAGAGAACUACAAGCCAGAGCUUAAAACUCAAAGGACUUGGCGGUGCUUUAUACCCGCCUAGAGGAGCCUGUUCUAUAAUCGAUAAACCCCGAUAAACCUUACCACUCUUUGCCAACNUCAGCCUAUAUACCGCCAUCUUCAGCAAACCCUAAAAAGGAGCAAAAGUAAGCUCAAUCAUCACNCAUAAAAACGUUAGGUCAAGGUGUAGCCUAUAGAGUGGAAAGCAAUGGGCUACAUUUNUCUACNNNNUUUAGAACACNNACGAAAGCCCCUAUGAAACCCUAGGGACCAAAGGAGGAUUUA